Molecule: transfer RNA, 104 nt
Organism: Chaetomium globosum CBS 148.51
Lineage: Eukaryota; Fungi; Ascomycota; Sordariomycetes; Sordariales; Chaetomiaceae
Rfam family: tRNA
About the family: Transfer RNA (tRNA) molecules are approximately 80 nucleotides in length. Their secondary structure includes four short double-helical elements and three loops (D, anti-codon, and T loops).
Source: Rfam
GGGAGCUUGGCUCAGUUGGAAGAGCGCAGGUCUCAUACUUGUGUAUGAUUCGGUGUCAAAUCGAAAAUAUCCUGAGGUCGUGAGUUCGAGCCUCACAGUUCCCA